RNAcentral lists this ribosomal RNA (549 nucleotides) under Babesia cf. microti. Its description in RNAcentral is "SSU rRNA". It matches the Rfam family "Eukaryotic small subunit ribosomal RNA", at positions 522 to 1089 of the family's 1831-position model. Lineage: Eukaryota; Apicomplexa; Aconoidasida; Piroplasmida; Babesiidae. The record is from RNAcentral.
AAUCUAAACCCUUCCCAGAGUAUCAAUUGGAGGGCAAGUCUGGUGCCAGCAGCCGCGGUAAUUCCAGCUCCAAUAGCGUAUAUUAAAGUUGUUGCAGUUAAGAAGCUCGUAGUUGAAUUUCUGCCUUAUCAUUAAUUUCGCUUCCGAACGUAAUUUUAUUGAUUUGGCAUCUUCUGGAUUAUAUAUUAUUUUCAAUAUAUUUUUCCAGUAUUUUACUUUGAGAAAACUAGAGUGUUUCAAACAGGCUUUUGCCUUGAAUACUACAGCAUGGAAUAAUGAAGUAGGACUAUUGGUUCUAUUUUGUUGGUUAUCGAACCAUAGUAAUGGUUAAUAGGAGCAGUUGGGGGCAUUCGUAUUUAACUGUCAGAGGUGAAAUUCUUAGAUUUGUUAAAGACGAACUACUGCGAAAGCAUUUGCCAAGGAUGUUUUCAUUAAUCAAGAACGAAAGUUAGGGGAUCGAAGACGAUCAGAUACCGUCGUAGUCCUAACCAUAAACUAUGCCGACUAGAGAUUGGAGGUCGUCAGUUUAAACGACUCCUUCAGCACCUU